GAUGAACGCUGGCGGCGUGCCUAAUACAUGCAAGUCGAGCGACCAGACGAGGAGCUUGUUCUCUCGACGUUAGCGGCGGGCGGGCGAGUAACACGUACGUCACCAUCUUAUAUGUCUGGGAUGAUUACGGGAAACCGGUGCCACUACUGGCGAAUAUUACGAACCGCUGGGUUCGAUAGAUAAUGAUGGCUUUGGUGUUUGAUUUAGACGGUCCGGCGCCGUAUUAGCUAGUUGGUAAGGUCACGGCUUACCAAGGCAACGAUACGUAGCUGAUCUGAGAGGAUGAUCGGCCACACUGGAACUGAGACACGGUCCAGACUCCUACGGGAGGCAGCAGUGGGGAAUAUUGGACAAUGGGCGAAAGCCUGACGCAGCAAUACCGCGUGGGUGAAGAAGGUCUUCGGGUUGUAAAGCUCUUUUGUUAGGAAAGAAAAGAAGUAGAAUUAUCUGUGGCCGUUUUGACGGUACCUAAUGAAAAAGCACCGGCUAACUUCGUG
Molecule: ribosomal RNA, 497 nt
Filed under: uncultured bacterium
Lineage: Bacteria
Description: partial 16S ribosomal RNA
Rfam family: Bacterial small subunit ribosomal RNA
Source: RNAcentral